Molecule: ribosomal RNA, 176 nt
Filed under: uncultured bacterium
Lineage: Bacteria
Description: partial 16S ribosomal RNA
Rfam family: Bacterial small subunit ribosomal RNA
Source: RNAcentral
GGGAGGGCAGCAGUAGGGAAUUUUCGUUCAAUGGGCGCAAGCCUGAACGAGCAAUGCCGCGUGAACGAGGAAGGUCUUCGGAUCGUAAAGUUCUGUUGAAGGGGAAAAAGAGCGGAGAGAGGAAAUGGUCUCCGAUUGAUAUUACCCUUCGAGGAAGUCACGGCUAACUACGUGCC